RNAcentral lists this ribosomal RNA (442 nucleotides) under uncultured bacterium. Its description in RNAcentral is "partial 16S ribosomal RNA". It matches the Rfam family "Bacterial small subunit ribosomal RNA", at positions 338 to 795 of the family's 1533-position model. The record is from RNAcentral.
CCUACGGGAGGCAGCAGUGGGGAAUAUUGGGCAAUGGGCGCAAGCCUGACCCAGCAACGCCGCGUGAAGGAAGAAGGCUUUCGGGUUGUAAACUUCUUUUAAGAGGGAAGAGCAGAAGACGGUACCUCUUGAAUAAGCCACGGCUAACUACGUGCCAGCAGCCGCGGUAAUACGGAGGAUCCAAGCGUUAUCCGGAUUUAUUGGGUUUAAAGGGUGCGUAGGCGGAUUGAUAAGUUAGAGGUGAAAUGUCCGAGCUUAACUGGGGAACUGCCUCUAAUACUGUUGAUCUAGAGAGUAGAUGCGGGAGGCGGAAUGUUGGGUGUAGCGGUGAAAUGCGAAGAGAUCAUACAGAACACCGAUGGCGAAGGCAGCUUCCCAAUCUAUAGCGGACGUUGAGGCACGAAAGCGUGGGGAGCAAACGGGAUUAGAUACCCGAGUAGUC